Molecule: long non-coding RNA, 839 nt
Organism: Gossypium raimondii (Peruvian cotton)
Lineage: Eukaryota; Viridiplantae; Streptophyta; Magnoliopsida; Malvales; Malvaceae
Exons: 2
Source: RefSeq, a predicted model, not a curated record
ACAAUACCAAUGAUAAGUAAUUGGAUUACAUUUGAUAUUCUUAAUAUGAUGUAUUUAUCUAUUUAAAUUUUUUUACUCACAAUUUAAAUUAAUUUUUCAUUUUAAUUGUGUGCAUUUUGCAUAUGUAUUGUUAUUAUUAGUUUCAAAUCAUAUAUUUUAUUAUUUAUUUUAUAUUAUUUUCAAACACAGACUUAUAUACCAAAUAUGCAAUUUCUACCCUCAUAAUAUUUUUAGUAUUUAUAUAAAAAAAAAAGAUGCUAAAUAAUUCAUAUUUGCAUAUAGGUGAAUAUCAGCACUAGUUGGCUUUGACUUUUAAGUUUAUUGGGAUAUGAGAUCUUCUUAACAUGGUUCAUACAUAUAAGUAAGAUGUAAUUGAAGUUCCGUGAAUGAGUUGCAGGCAGAAGUUACCAGGAGCUUGAUGUUUUGCUAAUUGUGUCAAUUGAGGCCGGUGACCACUUUCGAAGUACCAUAAAUUGCCAUAGAAGCAGCGCACAAAACUAUACCAGGGGGACCACCAAGAGAAGCAGCAACAGCAGCAGUAGCAAGACUACCUUUUUCAAGAAAGCCUACAAUCUGGUAACCAUCGGCACAGCCUGUUUUGCAAUACACAGCGAAGUUCUCACAGUUGUUAUUAAACAUAUCGUAGUCGCCAAAGCUUGCCCCUUCAACGAAAUAAGUUGCUUUGUUAAUAACUUCAUGGGGAGGCUUGGAAUAGUGUGGGCAGCAAGUACCACGUUUUCUGAAACGGAAUUUAUUAAGGGGAACUCCAUAGUCAUAGAUCCGGGGCUUUUCACCACGAAGGAAACAAUCUAUGCAUACUUUUGCUAUUUCACCAUUUU